Molecule: ribosomal RNA, 406 nt
Filed under: uncultured bacterium
Lineage: Bacteria
Description: partial 16S ribosomal RNA
Rfam family: Bacterial small subunit ribosomal RNA
Source: RNAcentral
AUUGAACGCUGGCGGCAGGCCUAACACAUGCAAGUCGAACGAGCGGCGGACGGGUGAGUAAUGUCUGGGACACUGCCUGAUGGAGGGGGAUAACUACUGGAAACGGUCGCUAAUACCGCAUACAAUCAGAUGUGCCCAGCUGGGAUUAGCUAGUUGGGGGGGUAACGGCUCACCAAGGCGACGAUCCCUAGCUGGUCUGUGAGGAUGACCAGGCACAAUGGAACUGAGACACGGGCCAGACGCCUACGGGAGGCAGCAGUGGGGAAUAUUGCACAAUGGGCGAAAGCCUGAGGCAGCCAUGCCGCGUGUAUGAAGAAGGCCUUCGGGUUGUAAAGUACUUUCAGCGGGGAGGCGUUACCCGCAGAAGAAGCACCGGCUAACUCCGUGCCAGCAGCCGCGGUAAUAC